This 407-nucleotide ribosomal RNA is filed under the name uncultured bacterium. RNAcentral's name for it is "partial 16S ribosomal RNA". It matches the Rfam family "Bacterial small subunit ribosomal RNA", at positions 30 to 526 of the family's 1533-position model. The record is from RNAcentral.
AUUGAACGCUAGCGGGAUGCCUUACACAUGCAAGUCGAACGGAGUGGCGAACGGGUAAGUAAUGUAUCUGAACGUUCCCCGUAGCGGGGGAUAACUACACGAAAUCGUACCUAAUACCGCAUACUAUUGAAGCGGACGAUAUCGGGUUAGCUAGUUGGUGGGUUAACGGCUCACCAAGGCGACGAUCCGUAGCUGGUUGUAGAGGACGACCAGCCACACUGGGACUGAGACACGGCCCAGACUCAUACGGGAGGCAGCAGUGGGGAAUGUUGGACAAUGGGGGAAACCCUGAUGCAGCCAGCCCGCGUGUACGAUGAAGGCCUUCGGGUUGUAAAGCACUUUUAGCGGGAAAGCGGUACCUGCAGAAUAAGCACCGGCUAACUACGUGCCAGCAGCCGCGGUAAUUC